GCAUCCAGGGGCCUUUACUGAGAGUCCUGGGCUAGGACUCCUGACCCAGUGGGAUGAAGGCCGCUUUCAGGAGCAAAGUGACAUACGGGCCCUUCCUCCUGGUGCUGGCCAUGGGCACCUGUUAGGGCAUGUGAGUGGUGCAGGGCCCUGGAAGUGCCGUUCGCCAUGUGCCUGAGGACUGAGAAAGUUUUCUGGCAGGAGGUGGUUGGAUCCACUGGGGGAACCUAUAUGUUGUACUUUGGGGGCUGGUCCCUCCCUAACUCCUUGUGGUCCUGACGCUGCCCUUCCCCUUCCCCAAGGUGAACCAGUGACCCAGGUGGGCCAGUUAGAAUCCUCCGCCCGCAGCUUCAGAGAGGCCCAGCAAGGCCAAGCAGCCUUCAGCCCAGAACGUGUUUCCUCAUGACACUAUAGUUAGCGGGGGCAGGAAGUGGAGGCAGAGAUGAAUGAGAACUAGCCAGGUCUGGCUCCCCUUGUGCUCUAAACCACGAGACAGGCAUGAUACUGGAAAACCCAUCCAUCUCUAAAACAACAGUUGGAUCCAAAUUGUUUCUGGGAGUUGGAAUAAAUUAAGGCUACUUGCUCAGACGGCUGAAGCACCUGUGGAGAAGAUACUUAGGAUUUUCACUCACCUAAGUUCCAAAUAGACUUGCCCUCUUUUUUCAUUCUGGUAAGAAUGACUGCCCUGAAGUUCGCACUUGAAAGAAACGGCCUGUAUGACAGGUCCUGGAGGAGACCAGCUGGAGCAUUUAUGUCUCAGAGAGAAGGCAAGCUCCUCCAAGAAGGAUUUUUGGAAUUUGUAACAACAAGAACAACAAAAACCCUUAGUGGAAGGGCUUUGAAUUGCUUCCAGAGCUGUGGGACUAUUCCUGUAAACCCUGAAUUAGUAAGACGGGGACACCUGUCUUUAGUUCCUCAACAACUGGGGUUGCAACUUGAUUAAAAGCCAGUAAGAUCCCGAAAUUUUACUUAGUUGAAUUUUGUUUCCUAAAGUUUGGUGGCAGUGCUGGGAUCCCAAGGAGACCUCACACGGCUUCGGGGACAGCAAGAAACACAGGCAGUGGAGACUGUGAACCCCAAGGUGUCUCUGUCACUGUUUGUGAGGCCGUGGAACAAGAAUACCACCUGACCUUCAUGAGCCACAUGCCAGAGAGCACUCGUACUGGAAGGGACAUCAAGUCAAAGACUCAUCUACUCUAUUGUGAAAGGACCUUUCUGGUACUGCUGACCAGUUCCUGCCCAGCUAACCCUGGAGGCAUCUGCCCCUGGAUUCAUCUGUCCCAACGUCCAGGAGUCAGGGGACCUGAAAGGAACAGCCGCAAGCUCUCCAGCCACCAGCAGCAGAGGGCUAGUCUGGAUGUCGGACCAGGCCUCGACCACUGUCCUUCUUCUCUCUGAAAAUCAUGACGGCCAAAAAUGAACCAGACUCCUCCAUAACUGAGACUCGGGAAGGAAUCCUACCAAGAACUCCUGACCCCUGACCCUGCUGCUCGAUUACAAGGUGCUGAACCCUGGUGCGUAUUUUGUGACCGAAGGCGGCUCCACCUCCCGUCUGGUCCAGUGCAGAAGCUGGAGACGCCAGACUCAAACUGACGAGUUAGAGAGGUACCAAGUCAAGGUUGAGGGCUUCCUUCCAAGGUGUGGCAAAUUGCUCUUUCCCUCUCUGACCAUUCUUCCCCUAAUUCUUACUCCAUGAAGGUCUGUAUGAUCCUUUUGUCCACCUUUCUCCUGGCCCUGGCCUACAGAGAUAAUGCCAUUGCGCACCCGUCUCGGGCCACUGCCACGGGCGAGGUGAUCUGGCCUCCGGAAGACGGCCGGAUUCCCCCCAAAGCUCUUGCUCCUGCGGUCCUGCCCGUCACAAACUUCUGCCUGACUGCCCGCGCCUCACUUGCCCUGGGCCCAACGCAGCCCCUCUCUGCACCAGACCCUGCACCAGGUCACAGGCCUGGUUACAAACCCCAGGUCCAGAGAACUUGGCAUCCAGGCUCUGUCCAAAGAAAGGGACACCAGGCAAGGGUAAUAACCAAAUAAAACCACAGACCUCGAGUUGUACUGGCCUCCGUGGCUGUCCUCCUCUGAGUCCCAAGCCACAGACUCAAAUAGGAAUGACCAAGAAGCAUUCACGUAUCCAAGUUUGCUUCCCUUGGCAGAUCGUCCGCCUCCUGGGCAGGAGUGAGCUCAAGCGAGCCUGCACUUUGGGACUUCUCCCUCACUCUCGCAGAUGUUGCAGAAUUGGCUUCUAGAACAAGACCUGCCUCACGAAUUCCUAGGCUCUCUGCCCGAGCUGUUCCGACGUGUAGCCCCAGAGUGUCUCUCAGCUGAGGUGCUGCUGUAGCUAAACAGUGCCACUUGCUGAACUCGGAUAGAUGCUUCCCGAGAAGCGAAGACUCAGUUACCCAAGAGCGCCGCACGCGGCAGUGGGCUUACGAAAGGGACUCCGUCGGUGGGGUCCUCCUCAGCAGCUGUUCUCUGCUCUAACCACAGUCGUCCCCCUCGCGCACGCUUUGCCCUCAAGAGCUUUAACUACAUGGUCGCAGUCGUUCACCACCCAGGAAAGGAUCUCCCUACGGACAGAACUUCAGAAAAGGAACGAAGAGAAUGACCAGCGUAAAGAAUGAACCUGAUCUACUGACCUGUGAGUACCACACAGAGAUUCAGCAAAACCUGUGAGAACUGAGCAUUAGCUACAAGCAACCCUAAUGCCUUAAGUUUUGAUCACAUCUCUUGGUGAGGCUAGGAGUCUGAUUAAAAGGAAGGAAUUGUUAAAAAUAAGGAAACAAGCCCAAAAUGGAGUCACCGAUGCUAAGACCCACAUCACCAAACUGAGACCUCAACUUAAUUAGCAUCAGUUCUCCCAGAGUCGUUCGUAACCCAAUCAAAAAUGACCUUGCAAGAACCAGUCGAUUUUUUGCCUAGUAUAAAUCCGUGUUCCUGCUCCCUUCUGCCUAGAGAAGUCUCAUCUGGAACAGCUCCUUUCUGCUAGAGAUGCUGCCUGAGUCAUGAAUUACUGAAUAAAGCCUAUACAGUCUCUCCGA
This is a long non-coding RNA of Neogale vison (American mink), 3032 nucleotides long. RefSeq lists it as uncharacterized. The transcript has 3 exons. NCBI's taxonomy places the organism in Eukaryota, Metazoa, Chordata, Mammalia, Carnivora, Mustelidae. The record is from RefSeq and is a predicted model, not a curated record.